AGCAGUCGCCGCGGUAAUACGAAGGGGGCUAGCGUUGCUCGGAAUGACUGGGCGUAAAGGGCGCGUAGGCGGCUUGGUAAGUUAGAGGUGAAAGCCCAGGGCUCAACCCUGGAAUUGCCUUUAAGACUGCCGAGCUAGUAGGUGAGAGAGGUAAGUGGAAUUCCGAGUGUAGAGGUGAAAUUCGUAGAUAUUCGGAAGAACACCAGUGGCGAAGGCGGCUUACUGGCUCAUUCUAGACGCUGAGGUGCGAAAGCGUGGGGAGCAAACAGGAUUAGAUACCCCUGUAGUCCCUGUCUCUUAACA
This 303-nucleotide ribosomal RNA is filed under the name uncultured bacterium. Its description in RNAcentral is "partial 16S ribosomal RNA". It matches the Rfam family "Bacterial small subunit ribosomal RNA", at positions 507 to 808 of the family's 1533-position model. The record is from RNAcentral.